AUACGUAGGUGGCAAGCGUUGUCCGGAUUUAUUGGGCGUAAAGCGAGCGCAGGCGGUUUUUUAAGUCUGAUGUGAAAGCCUUCGGCUUAACCGGAGAAGUGCAUCGGAAACUGGGAGACUUGAGUGCAGAAGAGGACAGUGGAACUCCAUGUGUAGCGGUGAAAUGCGUAGAUAUAUGGAAGAACACCAGUGGCGAAGGCGGCUUACUGGACUGCAACUGACGUUGAGGCUCGAAAGUGUGGGUAGCAAACAGGAUUAGAUACCCUGGUAGUCCAUGCCGUAAACGAUGAAUGCUAGGUGUUGGAUGGUUUCCGCCCUUCAGUGCCGCAGCUAACGCAUUAAGCAUUCCGCCUGGGGAGUACGACCGCAAGGUUGAA
Molecule: ribosomal RNA, 377 nt
Filed under: uncultured bacterium
Lineage: Bacteria
Description: bacterial SSU rRNA
Rfam family: Bacterial small subunit ribosomal RNA
Source: RNAcentral